GACGAACGCUGGCGGCGUGCUUAACACAUGCAAGUCGAACGGAAAGACCCUGCUUUUGUGGGGUGCUCGAGUGGCGAACGGGUGAGUAACACGUGAGUAACCUGCCCUUGACUUUGGGAUAACUUCAGGAAACUGGGGCUAAUACCGGAUAGGAGCUCCUGCUGCAUGGUGGGGGUUGGAAAGUUUCGGCGGUUGGGGAUGGACUCGCGGCUUAUCAGCUUGUUGGUGGGGUAGUGGCUUACCAAGGCUUUGACGGGUAGCCGGCCUGAGAGGGUGACCGGCCACAUUGGGACUGAGAUACGGCCCAGACUCUUACGGGAGGCAGCAGUGGGGAAUAUUGCACAAUGGGCGGAAGCCUGAUGCAGCAACGCCGCGUGCGGGAUGACGGCCUUCGGGUUGUAAACCGCUUUCGCCUGUGACGAAGCGUGAGUGACGGUAAUGGGUAAAGAAGCACCGGCUAACUACGUG
RNAcentral lists this ribosomal RNA (468 nucleotides) under uncultured bacterium. Its description in RNAcentral is "partial 16S ribosomal RNA". It matches the Rfam family "Bacterial small subunit ribosomal RNA", at positions 28 to 507 of the family's 1533-position model. The record is from RNAcentral.